Molecule: long non-coding RNA, 776 nt
Organism: Microtus ochrogaster (prairie vole)
Lineage: Eukaryota; Metazoa; Chordata; Mammalia; Rodentia; Cricetidae
Exons: 3
Source: RefSeq, a predicted model, not a curated record
GACAACUUUCCUUGCUAGGGUGGAGCUCCGGGCAGUCGGAACCGGAACUGCAGGGGUAGGCGGGGCGAGCAAACCGCCUUGCAGCUGAGUUUCGGUUUCCACCCAAGAGGAUUGUCGCUUGUGUACUUUUUGUGACCCGGCGGCUUCCGCUGGCGACGUGCGUAGCCUGUACAAGUUCUGUUUCCACCCACUGCUGAAACGCCUACUUCAGAGAGGAACGAGUGUUUCCGGUUUGAGCGGAGUUAGUCUGUGUUCUUUAUUCUCUAGACAAAAUUCUACCGGAUAGAUUUGUCAGCCAGGUGGUAGUGGCCCACGUCCUUAAACCUGUCACUCUGGAGGCAGAAGUAGGAGGAUCUCUUGUGUAUUUGAGACAACUGGUAAAACUGAGUUGGCCCUUCCAAAGUGGCCCUAUGGCAUAAAGGGAAGUUACAUAAAACAACAUAACUCUGCCAAACCCCAGGUUUACCAUGUGAGAACCUAGAACCAAUUUCAACACCGGGAAAUAAGUAAAUUCAUUUUUAUGGGUGCAAAAGCAAAUGUCUGUACUUAACAACUCCUAACUGAAGAGAAAAGUGCACCAUUUACAAACGGCUGGGUAGGCUUGAGAAACCAACCUUACAUGCUCUACUCGGGUCAGCAGUGGCAAGAGAUCCUCUCAUGUCCUCUGACAACCAAGGGAUAUUAAUAUCAACUCUAGGUGGUAUGUCUAAGCCUUAGAUCGUGUUUUACAUUGUGAAGGUUGUAUCUAAUUAAAAACCAAAUUGAUAUAUACAGUA